This 253-nucleotide ribosomal RNA is filed under the name uncultured bacterium. RNAcentral describes it as "partial 16S ribosomal RNA". It matches the Rfam family "Bacterial small subunit ribosomal RNA", at positions 524 to 776 of the family's 1533-position model. The record is from RNAcentral.
UACGUAGGGACCGAGCGUUGUCCGGAUUCAUUGGGCGUAAAGCGUCCGCAGGUGGCACCUCAAGUCUGCUGUCAAAGACCGGGGCUUAACCCCAGAAAGGCAGUGGAAACUGAAGUGCUAGAGUGCAGUAGGGGUAGAGGGAAUUCCCGGUGUAGCGGUGAAAUGCGUAGAGAUCGGGAAGAACAUCGGUGGCGAAAGCGCUCUGCUGGACUGCAACUGACACUCAGGGACGAAAGCUAGGGGAGCGAAUGGG